UCUCUCUUAGUCUUCUUGCUUCUCUCCCCUUAUUCUGAUUCGGUUGCCGAACCGACCGAUCUCUCUUCUCUCUAAUAUUUGCUCUUCUUGUUGAUCACUAUUUUCCUCUUGUCGAUUUCAGAUGCAUUAGAGCCCUAAUUCGAAGACCGAGUUGCGGAAGAAGUCGUUGUAGUCUGUAGUGAACGCCGACGACGCGCGGCGGAGGAGAAGGUGAACUUGGUCAUGGUUAGGAAGAACAAUCGGGUUUCUCGAUUUCUCGUGUUUAGUUUUGCGAAUUGAAUUCUAGGUAUUUUGAAUGCGGGUGAUUGGGUUUAGGGUUUUGUUGACUUGAAAUUAAGUUGUGAUUUUGGAUUUACAAAUUGGGUACUCACUCACCGCCUUGUUUUGGAGUCAACAUCUAUUCAUACUUGUUUUUUGUAAUUUUUGCAGGUAUGAGGAACGAAAGAUUGCUCUCUGCUUUCCCUUUGCAAAGAGAAUAGGCAAUUUCAUGGUGGCGGACUGAUACAAUGAGCUUUGCCUUGUUUUUCGUUGUUCUACUCGUGGUGUUGGUUUACUGAGAGGAUGAGUCAGGAGAGAGAAAUGAGGAGAAGAAGCUUGCAUUUUCCAGCCAUGCUUCUUUGGUUUCCAGCGAGCUUCGACUCCAAUUCAGGUUCACAGUUGGUGGUAGUGCCUUUGAUGUUUUUGCUCAAUCCAAAAUCAUAAGAAGGCUGCAUAGAUGAUUUUAGUUGUUACUGACGCUUAAUUGAAUUGAUUGGGAACCAAAGUUAGAUCUUUUUGGUGCACAGCUCAGCUAUCUAUGCAUCCUCACUACAUACAUGAUGGUGUCACUAGAUCGAGUUGUUAUUGAACAUGGUGCAGUUCCCCUGUUUGUGCACUUUCUAAGCUCCAGCAGUGAUGAUGUCAGAGAGCAGGUUCCGACUACCUCUUACAUUUUUUUUUCUACUUGAUAGAGCAAUAAUAAGCGAAUUUGGCUAGCAUAUACCUCUCUAUGUCCUUAUUAUCACCAGUUGUCCUAAUAGCACCUCUUAUAGAGCUGGGUUGAUAAUAGUUCAUGAGAGAAUGUAAUAGAGGUUUUGGGAUAUAUUUUUGUUUUCAGACAAGAGGUUCUGGGUUAU
Long non-coding RNA from Argentina anserina (silverweed cinquefoil), 1115 nucleotides. RefSeq lists it as uncharacterized. The transcript has 4 exons. NCBI's taxonomy places the organism in Eukaryota, Viridiplantae, Streptophyta, Magnoliopsida, Rosales, Rosaceae. The record is from RefSeq and is a predicted model, not a curated record.